GACGAACGCUGGCGGCGUGCUUAACACAUGCAAGUCGAACGGAAAGGCCCCCUUGUGGGGUACUCGAGUGGCGAACGGGUGAGUAACACGUGAGUAACCUACCCUUGACUUUGGGAUAACUUCAGGAAACUGGGGCUAAUACCGGAUAGGAGCUCCUGCUGCAUGGUGGGGGUUGGAAAGUUUAGGCGGUUGGGGAUGGACUUGCGGCUUAUCAGCUUGUUGGUGGGGUAGUGGCUCACCAAGGCUUUGACGGGUAGCCGGCCGGAGAGGGUGACCGGCCACAUUGGGACUGAGAUACGGCCCAGACUCCUACGGUAGGCAGCAGUGGGGAAUAUUGCACAAUGGGCGGAAGCCUGAUGCAGCAACGCCGCGUGCGGGAUGACGGCCUUCGGGUUGUAAACCGCUUUCGCCUGUGACGAAGCGUGAGUGACGGUAAUGGGUAAAGAAGCACCGGCUAACUACGUG
Molecule: ribosomal RNA, 465 nt
Filed under: uncultured bacterium
Lineage: Bacteria
Description: partial 16S ribosomal RNA
Rfam family: Bacterial small subunit ribosomal RNA
Source: RNAcentral